This is an RNA transcript of Symphalangus syndactylus (siamang), 473 nucleotides long. It is a transcript of the gene named general transcription factor II-I-like, with no coding region annotated. NCBI's taxonomy places the organism in Eukaryota, Metazoa, Chordata, Mammalia, Primates, Hylobatidae. The record is from RefSeq and is a predicted model, not a curated record.
UUUUUUGUUUGUUUGUUUGUUUUUUGUAUUUUUGGUAGAGACAGGCUUUCACCAUGUUGGCCAGGCUGGUCUCGAAAUCCUGACUCAUGUGAUCCACCUGCCUCAGCCUCCCACAGUGCUGGGAUUACAGCUGAAGCCUUGGGGAGCACUGAAGCCAAGGCGGUACCAUACCAAAAAUUUGAAACACAUGUGAAUGAGCUGAAUGUGGAAGGACUACCGGAAAACAUUCCUUUCAGAAGCCCCACAUUACAUGGAAUCUCAAGGCUCGAAAACAUCUUUCAAGUGAGCAAUCGAAUUAAGUUUGUUAUUAAGAGUAACUCCAGUUAGCCUCCAUUGUCUCCAAGCUGCCUUUCGUCCUCAUCCACAACUCCUCCACACAAGCUCUGAACACCUGUCCAUGUAAGUGACAUCCUGUAUGCCUUUAUUUUUAUUUUAUUUUAUUUUUGAGACAGAGUCUUGCUCUGUUGCCCAGG